ACGGCGAGUGAAGCGGCAAAAGCUCAAAUUUGAAAUCUAGUACCUUCGGUGCUCGAGUUGUAAUUUGUAGAGGGAUACUUUGGGGCCGUUCCUUGUCUAUGUUCCUUGGAACAGGACGUCAUAGAGGGUGAGAAUCCCGUGUGGCGAGGAGUGCGGUUCUAUGUAAAGUGCCUUCGAAGAGUCGAGUUGUUUGGGAAUGCAGCUCUAAGUGGGUGGUAAAUUCCAUCUAAAGCUAAAUAUUGGCGAGAGACCGAUAGCGAACAAGUACAGUGAUGGAAAGAUGAAAAGAACUUUGAAAAGAGAGUGAAAAAGUACGUGAAAUUGUUGAAAGGGAAGGGCAUUUGAUCAGACAUGGUGUUUUGCGCCCUCCGCUCCUUGUGGGUGGGGGACUCUCGCAGCUCACUGGGCCAACAUCAGUUUUGGUGGUCGGACAAAUCCGUAGGAAUGUAGCUUACCUCGGUAAGUGUUAUAGCCUGCGGGAAUACGGCCAGCCGGGACUGAGGACUGCGACUUUUGUCAAGGAUGUUGGCAUAAUGGUUAUAUGCCGCCCGU
This 552-nucleotide ribosomal RNA is filed under the name Monosporozyma servazzii. Its description in RNAcentral is "Kazachstania servazzii partial large subunit ribosomal RNA". It matches the Rfam family "Eukaryotic large subunit ribosomal RNA", at positions 86 to 652 of the family's 3401-position model. The record is from RNAcentral. Lineage: Eukaryota; Fungi; Ascomycota; Saccharomycetes; Saccharomycetales; Saccharomycetaceae.